AUUGGGUUUAAAGGGUCCGCAGGCGGGCAGCUAAGUCAGAGGUGAAAGGCCACGGCUCAACCGUGGGACUGCCUUUGAUACUGGCUGUCUUGAGUCAUGGUGGGGUGGCCGGAACAUGUGGUGUAGCGGUGAAAUGCAUAGAUAUCACAUAGAACACCGAUCGCGAAGGCAGGUCACCAACCAUGUACUGACGCUGAUGGACGAAAGCGUGGGGAGCGAACGGGAUUAGAUACCCCGGUAGUCCACGCCGUAAACGAUGGAUACUAGCUGUCGGGCCCUCGGGCUCGGCGGCCAAGCGAAAGUGAUAAGUAUCCCACCUGGGGAGUACGUUCGCAAGAAUGAAACUCAAAGGAAUUGACGGGGGCCCGCACAAGCGGUGGAGCAUGUGGUUUAAUUCGAUGAUACGCGAGGAACCUUACCAGGGCUUAAAUGCAUACUGACAGGGCCAGAGACGGCCCCUUCUUCGGACAGUUUGCAAGGUGCUGCAUGGUU
RNAcentral lists this ribosomal RNA (492 nucleotides) under uncultured Flavobacteriaceae bacterium. RNAcentral describes it as "bacterial SSU rRNA". It matches the Rfam family "Bacterial small subunit ribosomal RNA", at positions 553 to 1050 of the family's 1533-position model. The record is from RNAcentral. Lineage: Bacteria; Pseudomonadati; Bacteroidota; Flavobacteriia; Flavobacteriales; Flavobacteriaceae.